CGAGCGCAUGAGUUGUGCUGGACCUGUGACUAUCGGGAGGACCCCCGCUGUUGUGCGGCCGACUGCCGGUGCCAGUGUCCCUUCAAUCGUUGGCUAUUGUGUGCCUAUCGUUUCGACGAGUGCUUGCAUGCUGCUACCAGUAACACUGGAAGUUGCAUUGCUAAAUGUUGGUUUUGCCGUGUAUGCCCUAAGGGCAUGUCACGUCAACUAUAAAG
RNAcentral lists this unclassified non-coding RNA (215 nucleotides) under Paspalum virgatum. Its description in RNAcentral is "partial external transcribed spacer". The record is from RNAcentral. Lineage: Eukaryota; Viridiplantae; Streptophyta; Magnoliopsida; Poales; Poaceae.